GGAUUAGAUACCCUGGUAGUCCACGCUGUAAACGAUGGGCACUCGGUGCUGCGGGUAUUGACCCCUGCAGUGCCUUAGUUAACGCGUUAAGUGCCCCGCCUGGGGAGUACGGUCGCAAGGCUAAAACUCAAAGGAAUUGACGGGGGCUCACACAAGCGGUGGAGCAUGUUGCUUAAUUCGAAGCAACGCGAAGAACAUUACCUGGGUUUGACAUGUAUGGAUUAGCUCUUGGAAACAUGAGUGACGCGGCUUGCCGUGGAACAUACACAGGUGCUGCAUGGCUGUCGUCAGCUCGUGCCG
RNAcentral lists this ribosomal RNA (300 nucleotides) under uncultured bacterium. RNAcentral's name for it is "bacterial SSU rRNA". It matches the Rfam family "Bacterial small subunit ribosomal RNA", at positions 775 to 1067 of the family's 1533-position model. The record is from RNAcentral.